RNAcentral lists this ribosomal RNA (483 nucleotides) under uncultured bacterium. Its description in RNAcentral is "partial 16S ribosomal RNA". It matches the Rfam family "Bacterial small subunit ribosomal RNA", at positions 30 to 507 of the family's 1533-position model. The record is from RNAcentral.
AUUGAACGCUGGCGGCAUGCCUUACACAUGCAAGUCGAACGGCAGCACGGACUUCGGUCUGGUGGCGAGUGGCGAACGGGUGAGUAAUGUAUCGGAACGUACCUUUCAGUGGGGGAUAACGUAGCGAAAGUUACGCUAAUACCGCAUAUUCUGUGAGCAGGAAGCAGGGGAUCGAAAGACCUUGCGCUGAUUGAGCGGCCGAUAUCAGAUUAGCUAGUUGGUGGGGUAAAGGCCUACCAAGGCGACGAUCUGUAGCGGGUCUGAGAGGAUGAUCCGCCACACUGGAACUGAGACACGGUCCAGACUCCUACGGGAGGCAGCAGUGGGGAAUUUUGGACAAUGGGGGCAACCCUGAUCCAGCCAUGCCGCGUGAGUGAAGAAGGCCUUCGGGUUGUAAAGCUCUUUCGGCCGGGAAGAAAUCGCAUAGGCUAAUACCCUGUGUGGAUGACGGUACCGGAAUAAGAAGCACCGGCUAACUACGUG